This 76-nucleotide transfer RNA is filed under the name Polyangiaceae bacterium. Its description in RNAcentral is "tRNA-Ala". It matches the Rfam family "tRNA". Rfam says of the family: Transfer RNA (tRNA) molecules are approximately 80 nucleotides in length. Their secondary structure includes four short double-helical elements and three loops (D, anti-codon, and T loops). Lineage: Bacteria; Pseudomonadati; Myxococcota; Polyangiales; Polyangiaceae. The record is from RNAcentral.
GGGCCUGUAGCUCAGCUGGGAGAGCGCCUGACUGGCAGUCAGGAGGUCAGCGGUUCGAUCCCGCUCAGGUCCACCG